This 87-nucleotide transfer RNA is filed under the name Nostoc cf. commune SO-36. RNAcentral's name for it is "tRNA-Ser". It matches the Rfam family "tRNA". Rfam says of the family: Transfer RNA (tRNA) molecules are approximately 80 nucleotides in length. Their secondary structure includes four short double-helical elements and three loops (D, anti-codon, and T loops). Further hydrogen bonds mediate the characteristic L-shaped molecular structure. tRNAs have two regions of fundamental functional importance: the anti-codon, which is responsible for specific mRNA codon recognition, and the 3' end, to which the tRNAs corresponding amino acid is attached (by aminoacyl-tRNA synthetases). tRNAs cope with the degeneracy of the genetic code in two manners: having more than one tRNA (with a specific anti-codon) for a particular amino acid; and 'wobble' base-pairing, i.e. permitting non-standard base-pairing at the 3rd anti-codon position. The record is from RNAcentral. RNAcentral also lists the same sequence under 11 other names. Lineage: Bacteria; Bacillati; Cyanobacteriota; Cyanophyceae; Nostocales; Nostocaceae.
UGGAGAGGUGGCAGAGUGGUCGAUUGCGUCCGACUUGAAAUCGGAUGAGGCUAAAACCUCCGGGAGUUCGAAUCUCCCCCUCUCCGU